Molecule: ribosomal RNA, 2928 nt
Filed under: Salmonella enterica subsp. enterica serovar Enteritidis
Lineage: Bacteria; Pseudomonadati; Pseudomonadota; Gammaproteobacteria; Enterobacterales; Enterobacteriaceae
Description: 23S ribosomal RNA
Rfam family: Bacterial large subunit ribosomal RNA
Source: RNAcentral
GGGUUGUGAGGUUAAGCGACUAAGCGUACACGGUGGAUGCCCUGGCAGUCAGAGGCGAUGAAGGGCGUGCUAAUCUGCGAUAAGCGCCGGUAAGGUGAUAUGAACCGUUAUAACCGGCGAUACCCGAAUGGGGAAACCCAGUGUGAUUCGUCACACUAUCAUUAACUGAAUCCAUAGGUUAAUGAGGCGAACCGGGGGAACUGAAACAUCUAAGUACCCCGAGGAAAAGAAAUCAACCGAGAUUCCCCCAGUAGCGGCGAGCGAACGGGGAGGAGCCCAGAGCCUGAAUCAGCAUGUGUGUUAGUGGAAGCGUCUGGAAAGGCGCGCGAUACAGGGUGACAGCCCCGUACACAAAAGCGCAUGUGCUGUGAGCUCGAUGAGUAGGGCGGGACACGUGGUAUCCUGUCUGAAUAUGGGGGGACCAUCCUCCAAGGCUAAAUACUCCUGACUGACCGAUAGUGAACCAGUACCGUGAGGGAAAGGCGAAAAGAACCCCGGCGAGGGGAGUGAAAAAGAACCUGAAACCGUGUACGUACAAGCAGUGGGAGCACAGGUUUACCUGUGUGACUGCGUACCUUUUGUAUAAUGGGUCAGCGACUUAUAUUCUGUAGCAAGGUUAACCGAAUAGGGGAGCCGGAGGGAAACCGAGUCUUAAUUGGGCGUUAAGUUGCAGGGUAUAGACCCGAAACCCGGUGAUCUAGCCAUGGGCAGGUUGAAGGUUGGGUAACACUAACUGGAGGACCGAACCGACUAAUGUUGAAAAAUUAGCGGAUGACCUGUGGCUGGGGGUGAAAGGCCAAUCAAACCGGGAGAUAGCUGGUUCUCCCCGAAAGCUAUUUAGGUAGCGCCUCGUGAAUUCAUCUCCGGGGGUAGAGCACUGUUUCGGCUAGGGGGCCAUCCCGGCUUACCAACCCGAUGCAAACUGCGAAUACCGGAGAAUGUUAUCACGGGAGACACACGGCGGGUGCUAACGUCCGUCGUGAAGAGGGAAACAACCCAGACCGCCAGCUAAGGUCCCAAAGUCAUGGUUAAGUGGGAAACGAUGUGGGAAGGCCCAGACAGCCAGGAUGUUGGCUUAGAAGCAGCCAUCAUUUAAAGAAAGCGUAAUAGCUCACUGGUCGAGUCGGCCUGCGCGGAAGAUGUAACGGGGCUAAACCAUGCACCGAAGCUGCGGCAGCGACACUGUGUGUUGUUGGGUAGGGGAGCGUUCUGUAAGCCUGUGAAGGUGGCCUGUGAGGGUUGCUGGAGGUAUCAGAAGUGCGAAUGCUGACAUAAGUAACGAUAAAGCGGGUGAAAAGCCCGCUCGCCGGAAGACCAAGGGUUCCUGUCCAACGUUAAUCGGGGCAGGGUGAGUCGACCCCUAAGGCGAGGCCGAAAGGCGUAGUCGAUGGGAAACGGGUUAAUAUUCCCGUACUUGGUGUUACUGCGAAGGGGGGACGGAGAAGGCUAUGUUGGCCGGGCGACGGUUGUCCCGGUUUAAGCGUGUAGGUGUGUGUUCCAGGUAAAUCCGGUUCACUUUAACACUGAGGCGUGACGACGAGGCACUACGGUGCUGAAGCAACAAAUGCCCUGCUUCCAGGAAAAGCCUCUAAGCAUCAGGUAACAUCAAAUCGUACCCCAAACCGACACAGGUGGUCAGGUAGAGAAUACCAAGGCGCUUGAGAGAACUCGGGUGAAGGAACUAGGCAAAAUGGUGCCGUAACUUCGGGAGAAGGCACGCUGACACGUAGGUGAAGUGAUUUACUCAUGGAGCUGAAGUCAGUCGAAGAUACCAGCUGGCUGCAACUGUUUAUUAAAAACACAGCACUGUGCAAACACGAAAGUGGACGUAUACGGUGUGACGCCUGCCCGGUGCCGGAAGGUUAAUUGAUGGGGUCAGCGCAAGCGAAGCUCCUGAUCGAAGCCCCGGUAAACGGCGGCCGUAACUAUAACGGUCCUAAGGUAGCGAAAUUCCUUGUCGGGUAAGUUCCGACCUGCACGAAUGGCGUAAUGAUGGCCAGGCUGUCUCCACCCGAGACUCAGUGAAAUUGAACUCGCUGUGAAGAUGCAGUGUACCCGCGGCAAGACGGAAAGACCCCGUGAACCUUUACUAUAGCUUGACACUGAACAUUGAGCCUUGAUGUGUAGGAUAGGUGGGAGGCUUUGAAGCGUGGACGCCAGUCUGCGUGGAGCCGACCUUGAAAUACCACCCUUUAAUGUUUGAUGUUCUAACGUGGACCCGUGAUCCGGGUUGCGGACAGUGUCUGGUGGGUAGUUUGACUGGGGCGGUCUCCUCCUAAAGAGUAACGGAGGAGCACGAAGGUUGGCUAAUCCUGGUCGGACAUCAGGAGGUUAGUGCAAUGGCAUAAGCCAGCUUGACUGCGAGCGUGACGGCGCGAGCAGGUGCGAAAGCAGGUCAUAGUGAUCCGGUGGUUCUGAAUGGAAGGGCCAUCGCUCAACGGAUAAAAGGUACUCCGGGGAUAACAGGCUGAUACCGCCCAAGAGUUCAUAUCGACGGCGGUGUUUGGCACCUCGAUGUCGGCUCAUCACAUCCUGGGGCUGAAGUAGGUCCCAAGGGUAUGGCUGUUCGCCAUUUAAAGUGGUACGCGAGCUGGGUUUAGAACGUCGUGAGACAGUUCGGUCCCUAUCUGCCGUGGGCGCUGGAGAACUGAGGGGGGCUGCUCCUAGUACGAGAGGACCGGAGUGGACGCAUCACUGGUGUUCGGGUUGUCAUGCCAAUGGCACUGCCCGGUAGCUAAAUGCGGAAGAGAUAAGUGCUGAAAGCAUCUAAGCACGAAACUUGCCCCGAGAUGAGUUCUCCCUGAGACUUAAAGUCUCCUGAAGGAACGUUGAAGACGACGACGUUGAUAGGCCGGGUGUGUAAGCGCAGCGAUGCGUUGAGCUAACCGGUACUAAUGAACCGUGAGGCUUAACCUUACAACGCCGAAG